GAGCUCUGAUUUGCUUAUUGCACCACAUGUGUUUUUCUUUGAAACAAACUUGCUUUGGCGGUGGGCCCAGCCUGCCGCCAGAGGUCUAAACUUACAACCAAUUUUUUAUCAACUUGUCACACCAGAUUAUUACUAAUAGUCAAAACUUUCAACAACGGAUCUCUUGGUUCUCGCAUCGAUGAAGAACGCAGCGAAAUGCGAUACGUAAUAUGAAUUGCAGAUAUUCGUGAAUCAUCGAAUCUUUGAACGCACAUUGCGCCCUCUGGUAUUCCGGAGGGCAUGCCUGUUUGAGCGUCGUUUCUCCCUCAAACCGCUGGGUUUGGUGUUGAGCAAUACGACUUGGGUUUGCUUGAAAGACGGUAGUGGUAAGGCGGGAUCGCUUUGACAAUGGCUUAGGUCUAACCAAAAACAUUGCUUGCGGCGGUAACGUCCACCACGUAUAUCUUCAAACUUUGACCUCAAAUCAGGUAGGACUACCCGCUGAACUUAAGCAUAUCAAUAAGCGGGAGGAA
RNAcentral lists this ribosomal RNA (512 nucleotides) under Candida albicans. RNAcentral describes it as "eukaryotic LSU rRNA". The stretch from base 144 to 297 matches the Rfam family "5.8S ribosomal RNA". Lineage: Eukaryota; Fungi; Ascomycota; Pichiomycetes; Serinales; Debaryomycetaceae. The record is from RNAcentral.